RNAcentral lists this ribosomal RNA (400 nucleotides) under uncultured bacterium. RNAcentral's name for it is "bacterial SSU rRNA". It matches the Rfam family "Bacterial small subunit ribosomal RNA", at positions 89 to 524 of the family's 1533-position model. The record is from RNAcentral.
GUGAUAGUGGCGCACGGGUGCGUAACGCGUGGGAAUCUGCCCUUGGGUUCGGAAUAACUCAGAGAAAUUUGAGCUAAUACCGGAUGAUGACGUAAGUCCAAAGAUUUAUCGCCCAAGGAUGAGCCCGCGUAGGAUUAGCUAGUUGGUGGGGUAAAGGCCCACCAAGGCGACGAUCCUUAGCUGGUCUGAGAGGAUGAUCAGCCACACUGGGACUGAGACACGGCCCAGACUCCUACGGGAGGCAGCAGUGGGGAAUAUUGGACAAUGGGCGAAAGCCUGAUCCAGCAAUGCCGCGUGAGUGAUGAAGGCCUUAGGGUUGUAAAGCUCUUUUACCCGGGAUGAUAAUGACAGUACCGGGAGAAUAAGCUCCGGCUAACUCCGUGCCAGCAGCCGCGGUAAU